RNAcentral lists this ribosomal RNA (493 nucleotides) under uncultured Hymenobacter sp. Its description in RNAcentral is "bacterial SSU rRNA". It matches the Rfam family "Bacterial small subunit ribosomal RNA", at positions 8 to 507 of the family's 1533-position model. The record is from RNAcentral. Lineage: Bacteria; Pseudomonadati; Bacteroidota; Cytophagia; Cytophagales; Hymenobacteraceae.
AGAGUUUGAUCCUGGCUCAGGAUGAACGCUAGCGGCAGGCCUAAUACAUGCAAGUCGAACGGUGGUAGCAAUACCAUAGUGGCGCACGGGUGCGUAACACGUAACUAACCUACCUAGUAACUGGGGGAUAGCCCGCCGAAAGGCGGAUUAAUACCGCAUAAGCUACUUGGGUGGCAUCACCUAGAUAGUAAAGAUUUAUUGGUUAUAGAUGGGGUUGCGGGUCAUUAGCUAGUUGGUAAGGUAACGGCUUACCAAGGCGACGAUGACUAGGGGAGCUGAGAGGCUGGUCCCCCACACGGGCACUGAGAUACGGGCCCGACUCCUACGGGAGGCAGCAGUAGGGAAUAUUGGGCAAUGGGCGAGAGCCUGACCCAGCCAUGCCGCGUGCAGGAAGAAGGCUUUCUGAGUCGUAAACUGCUUUUGACAGGGAAGAAUAAGCUGGACGCGUCCAGUGAUGACGGUACCUGCAGAAUAAGCACCGGCUAACUCCGUG